This 406-nucleotide ribosomal RNA is filed under the name uncultured bacterium. RNAcentral's name for it is "partial 16S ribosomal RNA". It matches the Rfam family "Bacterial small subunit ribosomal RNA", at positions 30 to 526 of the family's 1533-position model. The record is from RNAcentral.
AUUGAACGCUGGCGGCAGGCCUAACACAUGCAAGUCGAGCGAGCGGCGGACGGGUGAGUAAUGUCUGGGAAACUGCCCGAUGGAGGGGGAUAACUACUGGAAACGGUAGCUAAUACCGCAUACUAUCAGAUGUGCCCAGAUGGGAUUAGCUAGUAGGUGAGGUAAUGGCUCACCUAGGCGACGAUCCCUAGCUGGUCUGAGAGGAUGACCAGCCACACUGGAACUGAGACACGGUCCAGACUCCUACGUGAGGCAGCAGUGGGGAAUAUUGCACAAUGGGCGCAAGCCUGAUGCAGCCAUGCCGCGUGUAUGAAGAAGGCCUUCGGGUUGUAAAGUACUUUCAGCGGGGAGGCGUUACUCGCAGAAGAAGCACCGGCUAACUCCGUGCCAGCAGCCGCGGUAAUUC